AUUCCUGGAAGUUCAUCCAAGAAGUCCUGAUCUCUGUGUUCAGUAAAAUCAUGUAAGAUCAAAAUAUAAUUCUGAUUUUAGAUCUGACAAAUUCUGUAUCUCUGUUACAAUAGGUACGACAACAAUUCCAUGAUGCCAAAUUCAUGGCAGACAUUGAUCUGGAUCCAGGCUGUACAUUGAAUAAAAAGAUUCGAAAUGCACAGUUAGCGCAGUAUAACUUCAUUUUAGUUGUUGGUGAAAAAGAGAAAAUCAGUGGCACUGUUAAUAUCCGCACAAGAGACAAUAAGGUCCACGGGGAACGCACCAUUUCUGAAACUAUCGAGCGGCUACAGCAGCUCAAAGAGUUCCGCAGCAAACAGGCAGAAGAAGAAUUUUAAUGAAAAAAUUGCCCAGAUUGGCUCCAUGGAAAAGGAGGAACAGCGUUUCCAUAAAAUUGACUUUGUACUCUGAAAACGUCAAUUUAUAUUGAACUUGGAGGAGUUUGGCAGAGUCCGAAUAGGUCAACCUGCAGGCGUAACUAUUUUUGACCUAGUCAGUUUUUAAACAAUGUGCGUUUGAAGGAGUUAAUUAAAAGAGAGCCAAUAAAAUGAUUUUACUCAUUCAGUAUCUGAGUACUGGAAGUGAAACAUGAGGAAUGCUUUAGUGUAAUGUGGGAGAACUUUUUUGUAAAUUUAAUGCGAUUGAAAAAGUUUUCAAAUUCAAUUAAGAUAACUAGAAUUGGAUUAUGGUGUAAAAAUAAAAAAAAAAUUUAUUCACAUAA
RNAcentral lists this small RNA (760 nucleotides) under Pan troglodytes (chimpanzee). RNAcentral's name for it is "retained intron". Lineage: Eukaryota; Metazoa; Chordata; Mammalia; Primates; Hominidae. The record is from RNAcentral.